AACCAUUGACCUCGUAUAAAGUAAGAGUACCCGCUGAACUUAAGCAUAUCAAUAAGCGGAGGAAAAGAAACCAACAGGGAUUGCCUUAGUAGCGGCGAGUGAAGCGGCAAAAGCUCAGAUUUGAAAUCUGCCUCACGGCCGAGUUGUAAUCUGUAGAUGGCUACUCUGUAACAAGUCUUUGCUCAAGUUUUCUGGAAAGGAACAUCAUGGAGGGUGAUAAUCCCGUGAGGCAUUGGCGUCGUUGCGUGUAGAGGGUCAUCAAAGAGUCGAGUUGUUUGGGAAUGCAGCUCAAAGCGGGUGGUAGACACCAUCUAAAGCUAAAUAUUGGCGAGAGACCGAUAGCGAACAAGUACUGUGAAGGAAAGAUGAAAAGCACUUUGAAAAGAGAGUGAAAAAGUACGUGAAAUUAUUGAUACAGAAGGAUAUGCCAUUGGACGUUAUGUUUGGGCAUGCUUGUGCUUCGGCGCAGGUGUAACCCUCUCAUUUUACCAGCAUCAGUUUCGGCAGGAGGACAAACAACGCGGAAUGUAGCUGCUUGCAGUGUUAUAGACGUGUUGCAUACUCUUUGCUGGGACUGAGGCCCGCCAUUGCAGGAUGCUGGGGUAACGAUGGCAUAUCACCCGUCUUGAAACACGGACC
This 639-nucleotide ribosomal RNA is filed under the name Wickerhamiella parazyma. RNAcentral describes it as "LSU rRNA". It matches the Rfam family "Eukaryotic large subunit ribosomal RNA", at positions 1 to 667 of the family's 3401-position model. The record is from RNAcentral. Lineage: Eukaryota; Fungi; Ascomycota; Dipodascomycetes; Dipodascales; Trichomonascaceae.